This 444-nucleotide ribosomal RNA is filed under the name uncultured bacterium. RNAcentral's name for it is "partial 16S ribosomal RNA". It matches the Rfam family "Bacterial small subunit ribosomal RNA", at positions 339 to 795 of the family's 1533-position model. The record is from RNAcentral.
CUACGGGCCGCACCAGUGGGGAAUAUUGCACAAUGGGCGCAAGCCUGAUGCAGCAACGCCGCGUGAGGGAUGAAGGCCUUCGGGUUGUAGACCUCUUUUAGCAGGGAAGAAGCGAAAGUGACGGUACCUGCAGAAAAAGCACCGGCUAACUACGUGCCAGCAGCCGCGGUAAUACGUAGGGUGCAAGCGUUGUCCGGAAUUAUUGGGCGUAAAGAGCUCGUAGGCGGUUUGUCACGUCUGCUGUGAAAAUCCAAGGCUCAACCUUGGACUUGCAGUGGGUACGGGCAGGCUAGAGUGCGGUAGGGGAGAUGGGAAUUCCUGGUGUAGCGGUGGAAUGCGCAGAUAUCAGGAGGAACACCAAUGGCGAAGGCACAUCUCUGGGCCGUAACUGACGCUGAGGAGCGAAAGCGUGGGGAGCGAACAGGAUUAGAUACCCUGGUAGUC